Long non-coding RNA from Spodoptera frugiperda (fall armyworm), 1048 nucleotides. RefSeq lists it as uncharacterized. The transcript is spliced from 2 exons. The record is from RefSeq and is a predicted model, not a curated record. NCBI's taxonomy places the organism in Eukaryota, Metazoa, Arthropoda, Insecta, Lepidoptera, Noctuidae.
UGUUGAUCUUAUGAAUAUCUUUAAUUGACUAUCCUUAUACGACUAACUUACUCUACUUAUAGGGGCGAGGUGUCACACACACUACACCUCCCCCGUUUUUGGAAAAAAAAAAAUAUUGAAAUACAUUUUUUUUGGAAAUUGAAACCUAACGGAAAUAAAAUCUAAAUAUAUUAACCGCACUGUUGACAAUUGUUACAAAAUGUUGAAUUCUAUUAUCUAUUUAUCUCUUUUACAUAUUUUAUUUUUCAUAAUAAUAUAAUUAUUCUCCGUUAACAUAAACCCUCAUUACCUUUAUAACUAGGUACACAUUAAUACAUUUUAUUUUAUUUAACUUAUUUCACUACCAUUGUCGUAAGGUACAUACAUUACAUUAUACACAUGUGAGCACAUUACAUUUAUACAGGACUCUCUGGUACCUGCGUUUCAUUUUAUUUAUUUCAUUAUAUCAUUCACCAUUCUUCAUUUCAUUAUAUUUGUGCUCACUUUAUUCAUUUAUUCAUUUUACAAAAUUUAGUGUCAAUAUUUAAGGUUACUAUUGACCUCCAAUAGAUUCUCACAGAGAGAGCUCGUCUACACCAUGAUCGAACUAAGGACAUGACCACUAAACUGUACCUUACCAUGUGUACCUAUUAUAUUUAUUAAUUACUUAUCAUUUAACUAUCACAAACCAACAUAACACAAUCUAAUUGAAUUGCUUGGUUGACAAAAUUAUACGCUGUCCUUAGGUGAUCAGCCUUCAGUCACACGCCAAAACUUGUGUACCAAGUAAUUCCAAAUUAUCUAAAAACCAAACUUACAAACUUUUACAAACAAUGAACACAUUCCAAAGCUUUGCUGAUAUCAAAUUUCAUUCAUCUAAUUAUUAAUUUCAUAAGACAAAACCAAAGUGCAGUUGUUAUUGUUACUCGGUGUCAAGUAACACGAUUCUUCCAAUACAAUCUGACACUCGGUAUGACAUCAUUUACCUAUAUGGGCAUGGGAACAUUCCUUCAAUCCCUAUUAUUCAUGCUAUGUAUACUAUAUAAUUACAAAAUUUUACAUUAUUUCG